RNAcentral lists this ribosomal RNA (490 nucleotides) under uncultured bacterium. Its description in RNAcentral is "partial 16S ribosomal RNA". It matches the Rfam family "Bacterial small subunit ribosomal RNA", at positions 30 to 507 of the family's 1533-position model. The record is from RNAcentral.
AUUGAACGCUGGCGGCAGGCCUAACACAUGCAAGUCGAACGGUAACAGGAAGCAGCUUGCUGCUUUGCUGACGAGUGGCGGACGGGUGAGUAAUGUCUGGGAAACUGCCUGAUGGAGGGGGAUAACUACUGGAAACGGUAGCUAAUACCGCAUAACGUCGCAAGACCAAAGAGGGGGACCUUCGGGCCUCUUGCCAUCGGAUGUGCCCAGAUGGGAUUAGCUAGUAGGUGGGGUAACGGCUCACCUAGGCGACGAUCCCUAGCUGGUCUGAGAGGAUGACCAGCCACACUGGAACUGAGACACGGUCCAGACUCCUACGGGAGGCAGCAGUGGGGAAUAUUGCACAAUGGGCGCAAGCCUGAUGCAGCCAUGCCGCGUGUAUGAAGAAGGCCUUCGGGUUGUAAAGUACUUUCAGCGGGGAGGAAGGGAGUAAAGUUAAUACCUUGGCUCAUUGACGUUACCCGCAGAAGAAGCACCGGCUAACUCCGUG